GCCUGGGUGGCUCAGUCGGUUAAGUGUCUGACUUCAGCUCAGGUCAUGAUCUCGUGGUUUGUGGGUUCGAGCCCCACAUCGGGCU
This 85-nucleotide transfer RNA is filed under the name Felis catus (domestic cat). It matches the Rfam family "tRNA". Rfam says of the family: Transfer RNA (tRNA) molecules are approximately 80 nucleotides in length. Their secondary structure includes four short double-helical elements and three loops (D, anti-codon, and T loops). The record is from Rfam by way of RNAcentral. Lineage: Eukaryota; Metazoa; Chordata; Mammalia; Carnivora; Felidae. RNAcentral also lists the same sequence under 1 other name.